Mizuhopecten yessoensis (Yesso scallop) is the source of this 946-nucleotide long non-coding RNA. RefSeq lists it as uncharacterized. The record is from RefSeq and is a predicted model, not a curated record. The transcript is spliced from 2 exons. Lineage: Eukaryota; Metazoa; Mollusca; Bivalvia; Pectinida; Pectinidae.
CUGUUACAUUUAUAUUUAAAAUAAAAGAAAGGUACUGAAGUGUUUAAUGAAAGGUCAGCUUAAGCAUCCUCAUCAUGCAUGUAUGCAUUCAGUAGAGCAACCCUACCUGCAUCAUUAAUUUAAGUAUUAACCAUAUAAUAGUUUUUGUUACUGAGAUAUGGACUUACACAACUUUUCUUAAUGUGCACUGAUGUACAAUGUAGAAGGAAGUCACUGGAGUCUAAAAUGUAAGUCAAAUUCAGCAUCUACACACAUUAAUCAGUGUCCCUAUAGCUGUGUCAUUGAUGCCAUCAUUAUGCAUGUAUUACCUAGAUGUACCCAGAAAUGGACCCAACACUUUUUCUUAAUGGGAAUGGAGGGCGAGAACGAAUCCAUUUAUUCAUCCUCUGCAAACUUCGUUGAGUAGGGGCUGGGAAUAAAAAAUGUAACUUGUGAGCAGAGACGUAUACGUUUCUGUUGUGAGGCAAACAUACAAAGAUGAAGAUAAAUAACAACAUACAUAUUUACAUCAGUCAAUGAUUUAAUUUCAUAAAAAAAUAUCAAUAUGCAUAAAAGUUAACAAAACAAUCACUACAACAAAGUUAUCAACAAGUAUGCUGUCAUUACAUAUAUCUACAUACAUGUACAUAUAUUUGAUGGAACAAUUUAAAACAUUUUUUUUUAAAACAAAGCAAUGCAAAGGAAUACUGAAUAAAAUAUAAUCAUCAUGAAAUAUCAUGACUCAAGACCAGUUUUUAAGAAACUGAUGCCUGUUUUGGACACCUGUGACCUUGAAAGAAGGUCAAGGUAAUCUACAUGAUGAAACUUUAAAGUAUUUAUCCCAGACAGACUUAUGACAGACACUUCACUAUACCAUAAGAUUAUGACAGUUUGUACCAGAGGAGCUUAAAAGUGUAUCUGAAGUUCAUGAACCAUGAUAUUUGUCUUUCCUUCAUUCUGACUGUAU